This 16-nucleotide small RNA is filed under the name Arabidopsis thaliana (thale cress). RNAcentral describes it as "ATSL232320". The record is from RNAcentral. Lineage: Eukaryota; Viridiplantae; Streptophyta; Magnoliopsida; Brassicales; Brassicaceae.
UUUGAUCGUCUUUUUG